UGUCCCGCGUAUGUACUUGUUAAGCCUUUAAGAGAAAAGUUUACAACUUAAGGAAUUAUAACAAAGAAGUAACACAUAAUAAGUUUACCUUAUUUAGUGUGUAUCAAUCGAGUUUCUGACCUAUCAGCUUUUGAUGUUAGGGUAUUGGCCUAACAUGGCUAUGACGGGUAACGGGGAAUUAGAGUUCGAUUCCGGAGAGGGAGCCUGAGAAAUAGCUACCACAUCUAAGGAAGGCAGCAGGCGCGUAAAUUACCCAAUUCUAAAGAAGAGAGGUAGUGACAAGAAAUAACAAUACAAGGCCAUUUCAUGGUUUUGUAAUUGGAAUGAUGGGAAUUUAAAACCUUCCCAAAAUUCAAUUGGAGGGCAAGUCUGGUGCCAGCAGCCGCGGUAAUUCCAGCUCCAAUAGCGUAUAUUAAAAUUGUUGCAGUUAAAACGCUCGUAGUUGAAUUUCAAAGAAUCAAUAUUUUAAGUAAUGCUUUUGGUUUAAGAUGCUUAGGCAAUACAACGUAUCUGCUCUUUGCAUUCCUUAUCCAAAAUGUGUUCUUAUUAUAAAAAGGAUUCUUUUUAAAAUCUCCUUUACUUUCUUGUACUGGAGAUUUUGUUACUUUGAGUAAAUUAGAGUGUUCAAAGCAAACAGUUAAAGCAUUUUACUGCGUUUGAAUACUACAGCAUGGAAUAACAAAAUUGAACAAGUCAAAAUUCUGUUCCUUUUUCUUAUUUUGGCU
This 725-nucleotide ribosomal RNA is filed under the name Plasmodium ovale (malaria parasite P. ovale). RNAcentral describes it as "SSU rRNA". It matches the Rfam family "Eukaryotic small subunit ribosomal RNA", at positions 191 to 864 of the family's 1831-position model. The record is from RNAcentral. Lineage: Eukaryota; Apicomplexa; Aconoidasida; Haemosporida; Plasmodiidae.